Molecule: ribosomal RNA, 301 nt
Filed under: uncultured bacterium
Lineage: Bacteria
Description: partial 16S ribosomal RNA
Rfam family: Bacterial small subunit ribosomal RNA
Source: RNAcentral
CAGUAGCCGCGGUGAUACGUAGGUGGCAAGCGUUGUCCGGAAUUAUUGGGCGUAAAGGGCUCGCAGGCGGUUUCUUAAGGCUGAUGUGAAAGCCCCCGGCUCAACCGGGGAGGGUCAUUGGAAACUGGGAAACUUGAGUGCAGAAGAGGAGAGUGGAAUUCCACGUGUAGCGGUGAAAUGCGUAGAGAUGUGGAGGAACACCAGUGGCGAAGGCGACUCUCUGGUCUGUAACUGACGCUGAGGAGCGAAAGCGUGGGGAGCGAACAGGAUUAGAUACCCCCGUAGUCCCUGUCUCUUAUAC